AAUAGAUACCCAGGUAGUCCAUGCCGUAAACGUUGGGAACUAGAUGUGGGGGCCAUUCCACGGUCUCCGUGUCGCAGCUAACGCAUUAAGUUCCCCGCCUGGGGAGUACGGCCGCAAGGCUAAAACUCAAAGGAAUUGACGGGGGCCCGCACAAGCGGCGGAGCAUGCGGAUUAAUUCGAUGCAACGCGAAGAACCUUACCAAGGCUUGACAUAUACGAGAACGCUGCAGAAAUGUAGAACUCUUUGGACACUCGUAUACAGGUGGUGCAUGGUUGUCGUCAGCUCGUGUCGUGAGAUGUUGGGUUAAGUCCCGCAACGAGCGCAACCCUCGUUCUAUGUUGCCAGCACGUAAUGGUGGGAACUCAUAGGAGACUGCCGGGGUCAACUCGGAGGAAGGUGGGGAUGACGUCAAAUCAUCAUGCCCCUUAUGUCUUGGGCUUCACGCAUGCUACAAUGGCCGGUACAAAGGGCUGCAAUACCGCAAGGUGGAGCGAAUCCCAAAAAGCCGGUCUCAGUUCGGAUUGAGGU
This 529-nucleotide ribosomal RNA is filed under the name uncultured bacterium. RNAcentral describes it as "bacterial SSU rRNA". It matches the Rfam family "Bacterial small subunit ribosomal RNA", at positions 777 to 1304 of the family's 1533-position model. The record is from RNAcentral.